CAGCGCGAGUCUGCGAGAGGACUGCCACCGGGGUCAGAGAGCACACAGUAGGCUACAGAAGCUCAGAGCAAAGGACGCGACUGCACUGGGACAACUUGUGUGAGGAUAGGCUGAAGGGCUUCAGUUCUAUGGCAACCAGACUGCAGUGGUCUAUGGGUUAAGGAAAGCCCUGGUGGAUCCCAGUGAAUGCAGCAGCUUGGGUUGAGCACACCCUCUGGAGCCAUAUUGACUGAUUCAGCAACUGAGGACCUGAGCCCUAGGACCAUGCCCCAGGACUACCUGACAUGAUGACUCCUUGCUGUCCCCAGUCCACCUGGCCGUGCUGCUGCUCCAGUUUCAACUGUUCUACCUUAUUAUUAUUCGACCAUGCUGGUCAUUUAUGAACAUUUGAACAUCUUGGCCAUGUUCUGUUAUAAUCUCCACCCAGCACAGCCGGAAGAGGACUGGCCACCCCACAUAUAUAUGCUCUCUCUAAUUCUCUUUCUUUCUUUCUCUCGGAGGACCUGAGCCCUAGGACCAUGCCCCAGGACUACUUGACAUGAUGACUCCUUGCUGUCCCCAGUCCACCUGGCCGUGCUGCUGCUCCAGUUUCAACUGUUCUGCCUUAUUAUUAUUCGACCAUGCUGGUCAUUUAUGAACAUUUGAACAUCUUGGCCAUGUUCUGUUAUAAUCUCUACCCGGCACAGCCAGAAGAGGACUGGCCACCCCACAUAGCCUGGUUCCUCUCUAGGUUUCUUCCUAGGUUUUGGCCUUUCUAGGGAGUUUUUCCUAACCACCGUGCAUCUACACCUGCAUUGCUUGCUGUUUGGGGUUUUAGGCUGGGUUUCUGUACAGCACUUUGAGAUAUCAGCUGAUGUACGAAGGGCUAUAUAAAUAAAUUUGAUUUGAUUUGAUUUCUACAUUGUAGAAUAAUAGUGAAGACAUCAAACUAUUAAAUAACACAUAUGGAAUCAUGUAGUAAGCCAAAAAGUGUGAAACAAUAUAUAUAUUUUAGAUGUUUCAAAGUAGCCACCCUUUGCCUUGAUGACAGCUUUGUACACUCUUGGCAUUCUCUCAACCAGCUUCAUGAGGUAGUCACCUGGAAUGCUUUUCCAACAGUCUUGAAGGAGUUCCCCCAUAUGCUGAGCACUUGUUGGCUGCUUUUCCUUCACUCUGCAGUCCAACUCAUCCCAAACCAUCUUAAUUUGGUUGAGGUCUGGUGACUGUGGAGGCCAGGUCAUCUGAUGCAGCAUUCCUUCACUCUCCUUCUUAGUCAAAUAGCCCUUACAUAGCCUGGAGGUGUGUUGGGUGAUUGUCCUGUUGAAAAACAAAUGAUAGUCCCACUAAGCACAAGCCAGAUGAAAUUGCGUUGCGCUGCAGAAUGCUGUGGUAGCCAUGCUGGUUGUGUGCCUUGAGUUCUAAAUAAAUCACUGACAGUAGAAAAGCACCCCCACACCAUCACACCUCCUCCUCCAUGCUUUGCGGUGGGAACCACACAUGCGGAGAUCAUUUAAGAACAAAUUCUUAUUUUCAAUGAUGGCCUAGGAACAGUGGGAUUUUGACCUUGUCAGCUCGGGAUCCCCGAGUUGCAACCCUCUGGUUACUAGUCCAAUGCUCAAAACACUAGGCUACCUGGUGCCCCAGGUGUCCUUUAGCAGUGGUUUCUUUGCAGUAUUUCGACCAUGAAGGUCUGAUUCACGCAGUCUCCUCUGAACAGUUGAUGUUGAGAUGUGUCUGUUACUUGAACUCUGUGAAGCAUUUAUUUGGGCUACAAUCUGAGGUGCAGGUAAUUGCCAAUUUCUAAGGCUGGUAACUCUAAUGAACUUAUCCUCUGCAGCAGAGGUAACUGGGUCUUCCUUUCCUGUGGCAGUCCUCAUGAGAGCCAGUUUCAUCAUAGUGCUUGAUGGUUUUUGCGACUGCACUUGAAGAAACUUUCAAAGUUAUUGACUGACCUUCAUGUCGUAAAGUAAUGAUGGACUGUCAUUUAUCUUUGCUUAUUUGAGCUGUUCUUGCCAUAAUAUGGACUUGGGCUUUUACCAAAUAGGACUAUCUUCUGGAUACCACCCCUACCCUACCUUGUCACAAUAUAACUGAUUGUCUCAAAUGUAUGAUUCCAUAUGUGCUAUGUCAUAGUUUUGAUGUUUUCACUACUAUUCUACAAUGUAGAAAAUAGUACAAAUAAAGAAAAACCCUUGAAUGAGUAGGUGUAUCUAAACUUUUGACUGGUACAGUAUACACAAAAGCUCUCUAGAGAGCACACAGUGUAGCUUGCAGUGGGAUCUGAGUGCUUCUGAGGCUAUAGUAUGUUGGGUCUAGUGAAAGUAGCACAGCACACACUGGUCACACACUAGUUUCCUACUAAUUUAAAUGACAUUGCAUUGAACCAACAUGGAAUAGAUGUUGAAUUGACAUCUGUGCCCAGUGGGCAGGUUCAUAAAUUGUAGAAGACAUCCAAUCAAAUAUCCCCUGCACUCUAUGAAAUCAAUUUCUCUGAGUCGCCUAGUUAAAUCCUCAUUAUGUGUUACCUCUCUGUGUCCCAACUCACACCCGGAUGCUUUAUAAACACUGAAGCAUGUAAAUAUACCGCUCCGGGACACAAUGCAUGAAUUAAUCCCAGCUCUCACUCAAGGAUUUUUGUUUUCUAAUGUACUUCCAAGAUGCAUCCCAUAUAGCUGGGGGCACUUACUGCAGGGAUAUCCAUAUUUUGUAACAAAGACGGAGGCCUGAGACUGUAAAUUAUCAUGCAGGGCUGACAACUGUUAAAACUAUUACAAUACUGCAUUGGCAGAGCGUAGAAUGAGUCCUGUAGUGAAUAGGGGGGUGUUGUUUGUUGUACAUUAGGUCUGGUGGGCCAAAAUAAAUACAUAGAGUAACUACAUUAACUGAGAAGAAUGCUGAUUGACACACAACUCCCCAAAAGGAGUUUAUAAACUUUAUCUCCACUAUAAAAAGUGUCUAGACAUGAUCUCACAUUUCUUUUAGCCUAACAUUUUGUUUUCAACAGCAGAGAUUUGUAUAAACCUUACUGUUUGUCUGACAUUUGCAACAUUGUUUCAAUAUUACAAUUCAAACUCCAGCUGUCCUACAGUAACGAACGAGUCGGGACAGGCAGGCAGGCAGCUUUUCUCAACCAGUCGAAAUCAUGAAUCAGCAAGCAUAUUUUUUUAUGGAUAUUUUCAAAGAAAUGUCAACUGAAAAAAGGUCAAACGAAAUUAAGUGCAGCUAGUUUGCAGUGUUGGCUAGCAGUUCUGAACAACAGUGUCCUGAUUAGUGAGCACAUUUUCUAUGCCAGGCGAAAUCGCGCCUCAUUCGCUCAUUGUUAUGGAUGUGUCCAAAUAAAUGUCUCUA
Oncorhynchus masou masou (cherry salmon) is the source of this 3327-nucleotide long non-coding RNA. RefSeq lists it as uncharacterized. Lineage: Eukaryota; Metazoa; Chordata; Actinopteri; Salmoniformes; Salmonidae. The transcript is spliced from 4 exons. The record is from RefSeq and is a predicted model, not a curated record.